RNAcentral lists this non-coding RNA (31 nucleotides) under Mus musculus (house mouse). Lineage: Eukaryota; Metazoa; Chordata; Mammalia; Rodentia; Muridae. The record is from RNAcentral.
UGCCACUAUCUGCCUGAAUAUCUUCUUCCCU